GACUAAAAAUAUCCGAUUUUUCCAAUUGAAUGACCAAACGUAUACGAUAUCGAGUCAAUAUUGCCAAUGCGGUGACUCAAUACAUAUGCAUGAAAGACGAAAUCUCGUACAUGUUCUUAGCUAUUAAUUAUGCUACGUAGAUGACGAAACCUAGCAAUAUGAACCCCUAUAUAUGAUGACCUUGAUCGCCUAUGGCUCCUUCCUACGACAAGGCCUGUUUUUGCCUUCACAUGAUCAUAGCGAUUUCGGAACGACUGGGCGUGCAAUGAUGCAUGUACAAUUUUGACACGACGAUGUGUGUUUUCGGUUGCACACUUGCGCGCUAAUCUUCUUACUCUGGCCCACCGUCUGAUUGUAUCCGUGGUCGCAAUAACAAGUUUGAACUAAUAAUCUAGAGUAACAUAAUCCACCGUAGUAUUAAAAAUAAUUGUAAAAACGUCAACAGUUUAACAUACUAGAGCAAAUUAACAUGCAUGCAUGGUGACCAAAUUAAUUACACAUGUACAUAUAAUCAUCGCUGAAUCCCCAUCGUUGAAACUUUAAAAUUACAAGUAGUCCAUCGAUCGAUCAUCAUCAUCCCCGCACCCCAUCAACUGCUACGUACGGAUGAACUAAUUAACACACGCAUGCAUGCAAAUAUACGAUGCUUAAUUAAUUAACACCGAUCGAUCCCCAUUAAAACCAAACCACAUCGAUCAGACGUCGAAGGUGUUCUUGCCGGUGAACUUGACCUCAAUCGGGCUAACAUUCUUCCCGAUGCUCCUGAAAUUCUGCCCGACGCCCUGCCUGCCGGCGUUCACCUUCUCCGGGUACACCCCGUCCUUGGGGUGGAGGUACUGCACCUCGCCGCUGGGGAAGACGCGGUAGAACUGGUAGGCGAUCUUGUACUUGGAGCGGAGCCGGUUGCCGAGCGCCAGGCACUGCUCCUUGCGCGCCAGCUUGAGGAGGUUGGGCCCCUCACGCAUGAUGGCGGCGCCGCCCGUCGGCAUCUCGAACACCUGCUCCUUGGGCGACGUCCACGUGAUGACGUAGAAUUCCUCGACCUGGGCUUUGCGGAGGAGCCCGCCCGUGCUGCCGCCGAAGAUUGGGGAUGGGGUUGAGGGGUCGAGCUGGGGCGGGACGAAGCCGGCGGGGGCUGGGGUGGCGACGGGAGCCGCCGGGGUUUCUGGGGCGGCGGCGUGGAGGGCGGUUGGGGCGCGGGAGGUGGGGGAAGGGAAGGCGAGGGAGCGGGGUUUGGGGGAGGAGGAAGGGGACCGGGUGGCGGCGAGGAGGUGGCGGGUGGCGGCGGAGGCUUGCGUGGCCAUGGCCAUGGCGGGAGCUAGCUUAGCGAGAGCAAGGAGCGCGCGUGUGGGGGAUGGAUAUGGAUCGGAGUUGAUGGAGGGAAGAAGAAGAAGGGGUGGCUGAGCUUUGGCUAAAGAGGGGAUUGGGGGUGGAGAAGCGGAUAAGGGGAUAUGAGGCCGGCCAAUGGGGAGCCCGGGUUUUGAUACGGCCGGAGCGGGAGGCUUGGCGUGGCGACCACAGAAAACACAAUACAAAUCGCAGCGUGUCAACGUGCACUGGGGUCGCCGGUCGCGGUUUUCCGUGG
This 1585-nucleotide long non-coding RNA is filed under the name Brachypodium distachyon (stiff brome). RNAcentral's name for it is "long non-coding RNA (BDIS_LNC000038)". Lineage: Eukaryota; Viridiplantae; Streptophyta; Magnoliopsida; Poales; Poaceae. The record is from RNAcentral.